Molecule: long non-coding RNA, 586 nt
Filed under: Anas platyrhynchos platyrhynchos (common mallard)
Lineage: Eukaryota; Metazoa; Chordata; Aves; Anseriformes; Anatidae
Description: lncRNA (ENSAPLG00000026496.1)
Source: RNAcentral
CCGAAAGCUUAGCACAGUCCCAUCCGUGACUGGUUUCCAGCUUGCUAUCACAGCAUAAGCAACAACAACAUCAGUGGUGAGAUUCUUCAAGCUGAAUAAUAGAGGAGUGAAAUGAAACUGUGGAUCUCAUGAUGGCCUGAUGUGGUUUUCCUCAGUACGAGGAGCAGGAAGGCAGGCAGUGUGACUCACGGAGCUCUGUGAUGUGCCUGUAGCCUGAGCACAAGCUCACUGCAAACAUCUGUCCCUGUGGACUCCCUGAUGUUCUGCGAUCUUCCCAUCAGGAGAACAAGCCGUGGAAAAGAUGAGGUCUUCAUCUUUGUGUAGGUGCAUGGAGGUGAUAAAUGAGUUUCACCUGGAGGAUGAACACAGCGCUGAAGCUGAACUCUUCAGUUUAAACAUCAGUUUAAACACCAACGUGGCCUUCAGCUGGCCAUUUCCCGCUGAGGAUGGCUUUACUCGGAGGCAUUUUGAUCAUUACUUGUCAGAUAAGACCUUGAGUGAACUACAAACUACAAUCACUGGCACUAGAAGACUUUGCAGCCAGUUUUGUCUUGACUCAAUCAUGUUAUCUUCAGUACUGAAUUAG